RNAcentral lists this long non-coding RNA (2899 nucleotides) under Marmota monax (woodchuck). The record is from RNAcentral. Lineage: Eukaryota; Metazoa; Chordata; Mammalia; Rodentia; Sciuridae.
GAGAGAUCUCAUACUCACACACACACACACACAAACACACAAACAAACACACACACCAAACAAAAUACCAAGCAGAUUAUUCUGUGUUCACAAAAACCUAGGCACUUGAAAAACAAACAAACAAAAAAGACAAUGUUGGGAAAAACAUAAAUUAAAAGAGUUUUUCAUCUUUUAUAGGAAACUCACAGGCUGCAGAAUUUCUGGACUAUCAAGCAAGGAAUGAAUAUUGUCACAGAAAAAUUGGGAAAAUGGAAGCAUGGCUCCAUGAACGAGAGGCCCGGGGACAGAUUCUCUGGGACAUUUCCAGCUCAGACUCAGAUGAGCAGGGAAAUGAUGAUAAGAAGCCACGAGCACUGGUGAGGACCAGGACAGAGAGAAUCCCACUUUUCGAUGAAUUUUUUGAUGGAGAAUAAGAGUGUCACUCACUCAGUGAGAUAGUGGGGGCACUGAAAAUUUGUUUUCCUAUCCUUCAAAUUAGAUUUUUUUAUUGACUUUGAGGAAAGCAAUUCACCUUAAUAAACAGGACACUAUUUCGGAGUCUUCUGUCUAGAAGAUCUAUCAUAUAUCUGAUAACUAUUGCUGUAGAACUACCUGCUGCUCAACACUGAGGGGCUGAAACUGUUAAGGUUGGACGAGCGUCAGAGGAAGAGACCACCAAGAGACUGUCUCAUGCAACAGCAGAGGGUUUAUUGGGGGUCCAGCAUGCUGGGGCUCAGAGCUCACUUGAAUGGAGCAGAGAGCCCCCGAGAACAACUUAAGCAGAGCUUAUAUACAUUCUUUGGAGAGGGCAGGGACUUUACAUACAUCACAGCAUCCCUUAGCAAAUCAUCACAUACCGUGGGAAAAUCAAAUAACAACUCUAAAACAUGAUUAGCACAUUCACUGGUGGGAACAAGUUGGGUAGGGGUGAUUGGUCAGCACAAACAAAGGGGUAUAUAUUUGAACUGGUUGGAUUAAGCCCUGAGGUGUGUACGUGCUGAGCUGCAUGGUCUCUGGGAGGGAUUGUUUUUACAGAGUGACCAGAUGGUCAGGAGAGAUUUUUCAACAUACAUUUACUGGUCUCUCCGGGAGUUGUUUUGACCCCUCCAUAAAUUUCAGAUCCCAGGAAAACAGAACUUAAAGAAAUUGUAACUUAACAGAACUUAAAACAAAUCUUAUCCUUUACAUUUUAACCUUUCAAAACAACAGCCAUUCUAUUGUCUCACCCUUCUGUGGGUGGCUGGGCUCAGCAAGGUGACUCUUCUGCUGGUUUCUUUUGAAAUCUCCCAUGUAGUUAAAAUCAGACCAGAGUCUGGACUAGAGUCAUCUGGAAGCUUAAUUAGCACACUGGAAUAGCUGGGCCCUGCCUCUUCUCCAUACAGUCUCAGAGCCACUUCCCAUGGCCUCUGCUGCUGGGUGGAGACAUUUUCUAUGAAGAAAAGGGAUAUCAGCCCUUUUUUUCUAUUAGCCAAGGGCUCCCAAAAGCAAAUGUCCCAAGAAGAAGAAACAGAAGCUGCCAGUCUCGAGGUCUCUAGUCAUGGAACUGGCUCUGCAGUACAUCCAGCACAUCUGUUGGUAAACAGGAGUCAAAUGCCAACAGAAGUGUCUAUGCAGGGCAUGAAUGCCAAACCAUAGUAAUUUGGAGUCCCUCUUAGAACCUUGCUACCACACCAUGCUUUUAAAAGCAAAUUAUACCAUAUAGAAUAAAUAGAUGAGAGAGUAGACUUGAUACAAAUGAAAGUGAAUUUCUAAGAAAAAUCACAAUUACGCUAUAUUGGACACUAAGCUUGUUUAGGUCACAUUUUUGUGAGUUGACCAUAACAGAAAGGCUUCAAGAAAGGAAUGGAAUAAUGUCAGAUGUGAAAGGUCAUUAUGAAUUAAUAAUAGCUCAAAAUUAAGAACUCUUAGAUUAUGAUGUUUAUUUUAGAGCUCUUUGAAACUUAAAGAAUGGGCCUGGAAUUGUAACUCAGUGGUAGAGCACUUGCCUAGCACGUGUGAGGCCCUGGGUUCGAUCCUCAGCACUACAUAAAAAUAAAUAAAUAAAGGUAUUGUGGCCAUCUACAACUAAAAGAAUUUUUUUAAAUAAGUAAAAUAAAACCAAAGGAAAUCUUAGAAAUGUUCAGUCCAGAAGUUGUUCUAUUUGUAAAAAUUAUAUUUUCAUGCAAUUUUUAUGAACUUCCUUUGUAUAUGAUUCAGCUCCAUGUCUAGCAUAGUCUAAAAAAAAUAGCUGAACUGUGGGCACAGAGAAGGAUGAAAGCACCAAGAAAGGCAGAUGAGAGAGUGGAGACAUACUUAGCCCCCUUCAGGAUUUGGCAGGGGAGCAGCAGGAUGAAGCAAUCCAGAAACUUCCAAGAAUCUAAUAAAAUUUUAGAACAGAAUAAUUAAAAAAAACUCUCUUGAAACCUUCAAAUGGAAACUUCAAAAAAGGAAAAAUAGAAAUUCGACAUUAAGUCCAUCCAGACCAAUCUUACUACGAAGACAAAAAGCCUGAUAUGUCAGGGGAUGAGCAUUCAGAUUUUUCCCAAGACAACCCCAUCCCUGGGCACAUCUAUUCCCAGCACUCUGUGAGUACUCCUCCUACUAUUUUUGUACUCAGCAAGAAGCUUAUUUCCAGCAGAUGAAUUUAUAAAUUGUUUGACCAGCUAGAUUUUUCAAAAAAGAUCCUUGAGAGGAUAAAUAAAUGCAGCAACCUCUGCAUAGUGUCCUCAGAUAUUAUGGUGAAACUGGAAAUUUUAAAGUAGGACUGGAAACUCCCAGGGGCUGAAGUCAGAGGGGCAAAGCAUGCCUUUAUUGCUCUGCUCUGUCACUUGAAAUUGGACAAAGCUCCCUUCUGCAAACUCACCGGACUGUGAGCUUCAUGAGGGUACAGACCAUGUCUUCUCCCUGUGGUAUCAACACUUCCUAGCACAACAUCUGUUGC